RNAcentral lists this ribosomal RNA (497 nucleotides) under uncultured bacterium. RNAcentral's name for it is "partial 16S ribosomal RNA". It matches the Rfam family "Bacterial small subunit ribosomal RNA", at positions 28 to 507 of the family's 1533-position model. The record is from RNAcentral.
GAUGAACGCUGGCGGCGUGCCUAAUACAUGCAAGUCGAGCGAACAGACGAGGAGCUUGCUCCUCUGACGUUAGCGGCGGACGGGUGAGUAACACGUAGAUAACCUACCUAUAAGACUGGGAUAACUUCGGGAAACCGGAGCUAAUACCGGAUAAUAUAUUGAACCGCAUGGUUCAAUAGUGAAAGACGGUUUUGCUGUCACUUAUAGAUGGAUCCGCGCCGCAUUAGCUAGUUGGUAAGGUAACGGCUUACCAAGGCAACGAUGCGUAGCCGACCUGAGAGGGUGAUCGGCCACACGGGAACUGAGACACGGUCCAGACUCCUACGGGAGGCAGCAGUAGGGAAUCUUCCGCAAUGGGCGAAAGCCUGACGGAGCAACGCCGCGUGAGUGAUGAAGGUCUUCGGAUCGUAAAACUCUGUUAUUAGGGAAGAACAAAUGUGUAAGUAACUAUGCACGUCUUGACGGUACCUAAUCAGAAAGCCACGGCUAACUACGUG